Molecule: long non-coding RNA, 1089 nt
Filed under: Homo sapiens (human)
Lineage: Eukaryota; Metazoa; Chordata; Mammalia; Primates; Hominidae
Description: HSALNT0293229
Source: RNAcentral
CAAUAGGUGGAGAUUCCUCCACAAUAGGUAGAGGUCACCAGCAUAGGUCAGAGGGGAUAUUGUAUGUAACUGGUGACAUUUGAAAGAGACAUAUUGGACAGAAAUGACAUACGUGAAAGCUAAGAUACAAUAUAUUUAAUUUUCUAAGAAUUCAGUUCAAGGUAGUCUGCCUGGUUUCUCAAGUUCUGCAUGUUUCUUCAGUAGACUAAAUAAUGAUAAGGAAGCUGAGAUGUAGAGCUGAAGUGUCUUGCCCAAGAUCAUUUGUCUACUGCAGCUCCUGUUCCACUUCCUUUCUUGUACUGCUGAACAUCCAGAUAGAGGCAUUGACAUGCAUGGUUUCCAACUGAUCACUUCCUACUCCCUUAAGGACCUCCUGUCAGGCAGUUUUGCUAAUUUCUUUAAUAUCAGAAGACAGCUGGAUUCUCAUUUCUGCUUCUGCAUUCAGUCUAUUGUGAUAUAGCAUAUCAUGUAACUUCUGAAAAACUUCACUGUACACAGAUGCUGACCUCACAGACUCCCUGAAAGGAUCUCCAUGACCUCUAUGGUUCCUUAGACUGCACUUUGAGAACUAUUGACGUACAGGGAAAAAUGCUCUUGGUGUUCCAGUUAAGCACAGAAUAAAAUCUGGACUGUGUCAGUUUGUAAAGAUCUUAUGUCUACUUGGUCAUCAGCCAAGAAGGGAUUCCGAAGAUAGAAGAGGAGGCAUCAACACCGUGAACAUCAUGGCUGAGUUAUUUUGUGAGAGGGAUAAGCCUAAAGUAAAAACCUUGGAUUUGCCUCUGUCCUUGAACAUGCUAUCUGGAAAGAGUUUUCUUAAAAGUAUUGUUGUGAACACAUCCAUUUUCCCAGUAUAGUUGAAUGCAGGGUUUAAUAAAUGGAAUGAAUCUAGUUUUAGUUCCUGUACUGCUUGUGCUUUCAAUAACCUCUAUAUUUGAAUAACACAUUUCAGUAGAUAUGUUUGUUAGCGUUGAACUUGUAAGUUGACGAAGAAAGGGUAGUACUACCAACCCUGAGAGGAUAAAGAGAAUUCUAUGUGUUUUACAAACAUAUAUUUAUCAUUUUGAAUUUAUAUAUAGUCAAGGAUGCAAC